This 484-nucleotide ribosomal RNA is filed under the name uncultured bacterium. Its description in RNAcentral is "partial 16S ribosomal RNA". It matches the Rfam family "Bacterial small subunit ribosomal RNA", at positions 30 to 507 of the family's 1533-position model. The record is from RNAcentral.
AUUGAACGCUGGCGGCAGGCCUAACACAUGCAAGUCGAGCGGAUGAAGGGAGCUUGCUCCUGGAUUCAGCGGCGGACGGGUGAGUAAUGCCUAGGAAUCUGCCUGGUAGUGGGGGAUAACGUCCGGAAACGGGCGCUAAUACCGCAUACGUCCUGAGGGAGAAAGUGGGGGAUCUUCGGACCUCACGCUAUCAGAUGAGCCUAGGUCGGAUUAGCUAGUUGGUGGGGUAAAGGCCUACCAAGGCGACGAUCCGUAACUGGUCUGAGAGGAUGAUCAGUCACCCCUGAACUUAGAAACCGUCCCGACUCCUACGGGAGGCAGCCGGUGGGAAUAUUGGACAAUGGGCGAAAGCCUGAUCCAGCCAUGCCGCGUGUGUGAAGAAGGUCUUCGGAUUGUAAAGCACUUUAAGUUGGGAGGAAGGGCAGUAAGUUAAUACCUUGCUGUUUUGACGUUACCAACAGAAUAAGCACCGGCUAACUUCGUG